UGGGGAAUUUUGGACAAUGGGCGAAAGCCUGAUCCAGCCAUGCCGCGUGAGUGAAGAAGGCCUUCGGGUUGUAAAGCUCUUUUAGUCGGAAAGAAAGAGUUGCAAUGAAUAAUUGUGAUUUAUGACGGUACCGACAGAAAAAGCACCGGCUAACUACGUGCCAGCAGCCGCGGUAAUACGUAGGGUGCGAGCGUUAAUCGGAAUUACUGGGCGUAAAGGGUGCGCAGGCGGUCUUGCAAGUCAGAUGUGAAAGCCUCGGGCUUAACCUGGGAAUUGCGUUUGAAACUACAAGGCUAGAGUGCAGCAGAGGGGAGUGGAAUUCCAUGUGUAGCAGUGAAAUGCGUAGAGAUGUGGAAGAACACCGAUGGCGAAGGCAGCUCCCUGGGUUGACACUGACGCUCAUGCACGAAAGCGUGGGGAGCAAACA
This 427-nucleotide ribosomal RNA is filed under the name uncultured beta proteobacterium. RNAcentral describes it as "bacterial SSU rRNA". It matches the Rfam family "Bacterial small subunit ribosomal RNA", at positions 355 to 774 of the family's 1533-position model. Lineage: Bacteria; Pseudomonadati; Pseudomonadota; Betaproteobacteria. The record is from RNAcentral.